AUGUCCCACGCGUACACCGCGGUUCGCGUGCGCCGCCUGCGCGUACCUGACGACUGGUCGCUACGCCUUGCUAGCC
This 76-nucleotide small RNA is filed under the name Xanthomonas vasicola. RNAcentral's name for it is "sX9 sRNA". It matches the Rfam family "Xanthomonas sRNA sX9". Lineage: Bacteria; Pseudomonadati; Pseudomonadota; Gammaproteobacteria; Lysobacterales; Lysobacteraceae. RNAcentral also lists the same sequence under 8 other names. The record is from RNAcentral.